Molecule: ribosomal RNA, 1263 nt
Filed under: Triticum aestivum (bread wheat)
Lineage: Eukaryota; Viridiplantae; Streptophyta; Magnoliopsida; Poales; Poaceae
Description: partial small subunit ribosomal RNA
Source: RNAcentral
AUGGGCCCUGCGGCGGUCGCCGUGCUGGUCAUCCUCUGCGCCGCCGGCGCCGAGGCCCGCGUCCCGGCCGGUCACCUCGCGACGAGGCGGCGCGACAGUGUUCCCGCGGGCGUGGGUGCGUGCGCGCUGGCCGUGGCGCCCUUCGGCUACCCCUGCGAGGAGCACACGAUGACGACGGUGGACGGGUACAUCCUGAGCCUGCAACGGAUCCCGAGGGGGCGGCGCCCCAGCGGCGGCGGCGGCGCGGGGCAGCCGGUGCUCCUGCAGCACGGCGUUCUCACGGACGGCAUGACAUGGCUGCUGAGCUCGCCGGAGGAAUCGUUGGCGUACAUCCUCGCGGACAGCGGCUUCGACGUCUGGGUCGCCAACAACAGGGGCACCAGGUGGAGCAGCCGCCACGUCUCCCUCGACUCCUCCUCCCGGAGGUACUGGGACUGGUCGUGGGACGACCUGGUGGUGAACGACAUGCCGAGCAUGGUUGACUAUAUCUGCAGCCACACGGCGCAGAAGCCGCACUUCCUCGGCCACUCCAUGGGGACGCUGGUGGCGCUGGCGGCCUUCUCGGAGGGCAGAACGGUGGACAAGCUCAAGUCGGCGGCGCUGCUGACCCCGGUCGCCUAUCUGUCCCACAUGACCACCCCCCUCGGCAUACUGCUAGCCAAGGCAUUCGUCGGAGAGGCCGGCGGUGGCGAGCCUCUUCAAGGAACUGUGCCGCCAUCCUGGAACCAACUGCUACGACCUCCUCACAGACUUCACAGGUAUCUCUACUUUUUGCUAGUACUAGUAUGUGUGCAUGCAUCGAGAGGUUUCAGAGCUGAGCGUCCAUGGCGUGUGCGUACGGCAGGGAAGAACUACUGCCUCAACAGCUCGGCCGUGGACGUCUUCCUCCAGUACGAGCCGCAGCCGACGUCCACCAAGACCAUGGUGCACCUCGCCCAGACGUUCCGCGACGGCGUGCUGUCCAAGUACGACUACGUGUGGCCGGGCGUGAACGUGGAGAAGUACGGCCAGCCGGACCCGCCGGCGUACAACAUGUCCAACAUACCGCCGGGCUUCCCGCUCUUCCUCAGCUACGGCGGCCGGGACGAGCUGGCCGACCCCGUCGACGUCGGCCGCCUCCUCGGCGACCUCCGGGGCCACGACCCCGGCAGGCUCACGGUGCAGUACCUGGAGCAGUUCGCGCACGCCGACUUCGUCAUCGGCACCUGCGCCAAGGACUACGUCUACAAAGACGUCGUCUCCUUCUUCAACCGCUUCAACUAG